GCCCUAAACCUCAGUAGUUAAACAACAAAACUACUCGCCAGAAUACUACAAGCAACAGCUUAAAACUCAAAGGACUUGACGGUGCUUUACAUCCCCCUAGAGGAGCCUGUUCCAUAAUCGAUAAACCCCGAUCCACCCCACCCUCUCUUGCUCAGCCUAUAUACCGCCAUCUUCAGCAAACCCUGAUAAAGGUUACAAAGUGAGCGCAAACGCCUCCCCCGCAAAAACGUUAGGUCAAGGUGUAGCCCAUGAGACGGUAAAAAAUGGGCUACAUUUUCUAUAUCAGAAAAUUCCACGAAAACUCUUAUGAAAUUUGAGAGUCCAAGGAGGAUUUAGCAGUAAAUUAAGAAUAGAGUGCUUAAUUGAACCAGGCCAUAAAGCGCGCACACACCGCCCGUCACUCCCCUCAAAUAUAUUUAAGGAAUAUCUUAACUAAACACCCCAAUAUUUAUAUAGAGGGGAUAAGUCGUAACAUGGUAAGUGUACUGGAAGGUGCACUUGGAUAAAU
This 508-nucleotide ribosomal RNA is filed under the name Macaca pagensis (Mentawai macaque). RNAcentral describes it as "partial 12S ribosomal RNA". It matches the Rfam family "Bacterial small subunit ribosomal RNA", at positions 799 to 1533 of the family's 1533-position model. The record is from RNAcentral. Lineage: Eukaryota; Metazoa; Chordata; Mammalia; Primates; Cercopithecidae.